AUUGGAAAUUAGCAUCUACUGAUAGUUUGACUGCAUGUUUGGAAAUUAGCAUAUUCUUUCUAUGGGUUCUAGACUUUUGGAUGUAUACAAAUUUGCUCUAUGUUUUGAACUUUUGUAUUGGAUCUUUUCUGGUUAGAA
Brachypodium distachyon (stiff brome) is the source of this 138-nucleotide non-coding RNA. Lineage: Eukaryota; Viridiplantae; Streptophyta; Magnoliopsida; Poales; Poaceae. The record is from RefSeq and is marked provisional.